Molecule: long non-coding RNA, 2862 nt
Organism: Mesocricetus auratus (golden hamster)
Lineage: Eukaryota; Metazoa; Chordata; Mammalia; Rodentia; Cricetidae
Exons: 3
Source: RefSeq, a predicted model, not a curated record
GGAAGAGCAGACAGUAUUGCUGAGCCAUCUCUCCAGCCCUUGUUUUCACCUCUUUUAUUCAGCAGUGUAUUGGAAAUUAUAGGAGAGUAAAGAAGGAAAACUACCCUUACUUGUAGACAUUUUGGCCUUUUCUUUAGAAAUGCUUAAGGGAUUCACCCUAAAACUAUUGGAUCUAAGGGCUGGAGAGAUGGCUCAAUAGUGAAGAACACAUCCUGCUCUUGCAGAAAACUCAAGUUCAGUUCCCCACACCCAGAUCUAAUGGCUUACAACUACUUUUAGUUCAGCUCCAGGGGAUCAAUAUCCUUUUCUGGACUCUACUGACAGAUCCACUCAUGUGUACUGCCUCCACCUCCACCCCUACACAAGGUGAAUGAACUUCAUACAAGGUAAAAUAAAGUCAUGUGUAGAAGGUUAUAUUAACAUUAACAUGGACAAGCCAGAAUAGGUCAGUCCACAGAGGCAGAAAGAAGGGUAAUAGUUGCCAUAAGCUGUGGAAAACAAAACAAGGAGUAACUGCUUAGUAUAUGUGGGUAGAAGAGGAAAGGAAUGACUACUGUUUCCUUCAGGCAUGCGGCAGUGAUCUGGACCUAAUGGUUGUACAUAGUAAGUAUAUUGAGGCUCACUGCUAGGAGACUGUUUUAAACAGUUAGUUUUAUGUCGUGGGGAGUUACUGUAAUAUUUUUAAGUACUCAAACAGUAAGAAGUCAUAUAACUUAGUUUUUCUUGACUAUUAGAAUGGAGGCAGUGACUAGAAUACAGUGGCUGCUCUUAUGUUCUGCUCACUCUUUCUGAGUGGAGUAAGUUUGUUCUUAUAGCAUGGCAUAAUGCUCAGCACUAAGGACAUGAAGAUGGCAGUAAGGGUAUUAAGUAUAUAUCAGGAGAGUAGUUAAUAAGCUGGAGGAAUCAUGUUCUCAUGCCUGAAAGCAUCUUCUGAGUUUCUUUUUCACCACCCUUCCCCAAUAAAGUCACUUCCCCUUUCUUGUUUCACAUUGAUGUGAUACUUUUCAUUUCAGCUACCAGAAAUUUCAGACCCAUGUUCUGCCACUUAUAACUUCACUUUGUUUGUAAUAAGAUCACCAAAACAGUGAUUUAGGUUAGGGCUGCUGAAUCUCAAAAUUUCAGUGAUGGACCCAUGCUCUGUCCCUAACUUUUGUCCUCUUGAUGGAUUACUUACUCACAUUUUGGAUGGCUAGACAUUAGGAAACCUAACAUAUGUAUUCAUUAAUAGACUCCAAUUCUUAACGGGAGUGAAUAAUUAUUAUGGGCCAAAUAGAACAAGUUACAUUUUUUUAUCAGAGAAUCCAAGAUACAUGGGACAUAUCUUGGGUCUUGUACUUUUGUCCAAGAAACAUAAACUGAACAAAUCUGACAUAAGGGGACAACGUAGCACAUGGAACAGAGUGGAGCUGAACCACCUCUUUCAUCCUUCAGUUCACGUGGUGGGUAGUAUGUCCGCUAAUGCAUUGAGGCAACGUGCUCUGUGCCAUUUUGUAAGAAACUUAACAAAGUGAAAGAGAGUCUAGAGGACCAUGUCAGGGAUGAGGAGGAAGGACACCCCCCUCCCUUGUCUAUUUCAUGAAACAAAUGAAGAAAGCAAAAGGGAUUAGUCUUAUAAAUGUGGGAGCUCUUCAAAUGGUAAGAGUAUCCAAAAAGAAAAAAAGAAUCAGCUGACUAUGUGAUCAUGAAAGCUUUCAAGCAAAGCCCAGGCGACCACUUUCAAGAGCAUCCUUAUAAUUAAAAGAUACCAUAGUCACCAAAAUGUAUUUCAAUCCUGAGAUUAAUGUGUCUACGUAAUUACUAAAAAGUAGACAAGGGAGCUGGGUAUAGUGGCACAUGGUUUUAAUUCUAGCACUCAGGAGACAGGGCAUGUGGAUCUCUGAGCUUUAGGACAGCCAGGGCUACACAAAGAAACUGUCUCAACAAAGCAAAUACAACAAAAGGCAGGCAAGAGAAGGGUGAAGAAAAAGAAUAGAGUUUAAAACCAGUGGCCUAGUUGAAUUUAAAAAGUACUUUCUGAUUACUUCUAAAUUUUAAGGCAUUGAUAAAGGUCCUUUCUGUCAAUAAUUCAGAAGUGAUGAGCUUGGUCUUUAGCAGCAAGAUGACAUGUUUCCUUGUCCUUGUUUUAUAGUCUGGUCUCCUGAGACAAGAUUUAGGACUUGGGAGCCCAGCACAGCUGUCUUCUUCAGGAAAACCUGGAACACCAUACUACUCAUUCUCUGCCACAAGUUCUAGGAGAAGACCGCUCCAUGACUCUGUAGCCCUAGAUCCUUUGCAAGCAAAGAAAGUAAGAAAGGUGCCUCCUGGCCUGCCUUCUUCUAGAGUGGUUGCAGGAUCACUGAUUAGGCCAGUAGCUGUUCAACAGACCUCAAAGGUGGGGUUAAGGGAUGAAUGAUUCUUGUUUUCUUUGUUGUAAACAUUUGGGAAUAUAGAGGUAUUGGGACUGGGGGACAGCCUCUUCAGCACUCAGAAAUUACCUUUUUUGUUUUUUGUUAAUGAAAGUAGCACAUACUACAAAAAUUGGUCAAAUAUGAAAUCUGGAAUUUGGGUGUCUUAUUUGGUAUCUGACUUAGCAGUAUUGCCCCAAGUUCUGCAAGUUUAGGAGACUGGGUCUCAUGAAUUAUUUCUUUUCAGGCUAAAUUGGGAGGGGAAAGUGUCUUUCAUUUCUAUUUACAUUUGCAAAUCCCAUUCCUCCCUUGUUUUUGAGACAAGGUCAGGCUGACCUCAAACUCACAGCAAUCCUAUGGUCUCAGCCUCCUGAAUACUGACUGGGAUUAUUGGUAUAUGCCAUCACACUUAAUGUUUGUUUGUUUGUUUGUUUGUUUUUAGAAACAGGGUUUCUCUGUGGCUUUAGAGGCUGUCCUG